Molecule: unclassified non-coding RNA, 271 nt
Filed under: Cladophialophora sp.
Lineage: Eukaryota; Fungi; Ascomycota; Eurotiomycetes; Chaetothyriales; Herpotrichiellaceae
Description: partial internal transcribed spacer region
Rfam family: Eukaryotic small subunit ribosomal RNA (bases 1-46)
Source: RNAcentral
AAGUCGUAACAAGGUUUCCGUAGGUGAACCUGCGGAAGGAUCAUUAAAGAGUUAGGGUCCUUUGGGCCCGACCUCCCAACCCUUUGUUUACUGAACCUCUGUUGCUUCGGCGGACCCCGCCUCACGGCCGCCGGAGGACCGCCCCCAGGCGUCCUCUGGCCAGCGUCCGCCGAUAGCCACUCUCAAAACUCUUGAAUAAAUCAUGUUAUUGUCUAAGUCUAUGAUGCAAAUCAAUAAAGCAAAACUUUCAACAACGGAUCUCUUGGUUCUG